RNAcentral lists this transfer RNA (70 nucleotides) under Dipodomys ordii (Ord's kangaroo rat). It matches the Rfam family "tRNA". From Rfam's summary of the family: Transfer RNA (tRNA) molecules are approximately 80 nucleotides in length. Their secondary structure includes four short double-helical elements and three loops (D, anti-codon, and T loops). The record is from Rfam by way of RNAcentral. Lineage: Eukaryota; Metazoa; Chordata; Mammalia; Rodentia; Heteromyidae.
GGGAAUGUGGCUUAGUGGUAGAGUGCUUGCCUAUUAUGCAUAAAGCCCUGGGUUCAAUUCCUCAGUACCA